CCUACGGGGAGCAGCAGUGAGGAAUAUUGGUCAAUGGACGAGAGUCUGAACCAGCCAAGUAGCGUGAAGGAUGACUGCCCUAUAGGUUGUAAACUUCUUUUAUAUGGGAAUAAAAUGUUCCACGUGUGGGAUUUUGUAUGUACCAUAUGAAUAAGGAUCGGCUAACUCCGUGCCAGCAGCCGCGGUAAUACGGAGGAUCCGAGCGUUAUCCGGAUUUAUUGGGUUUAAAGUGAGCGUAGGUGGAUUGUUAAGUCAGUUGUGAAAGUUUGCGGCUCAACCGUAAAAUUGCAGUUGAAACUGGCAGUCUUGAGUACAGUAGAGGUGGGCGGAAUUCGUGGUGUAGCGGUGAAAUGCUUAGAUAUCACGAAGAACUCCGAUUGCGAAGGCAGUUCACUGGACUGCAACUGACACUGAGGCUCGAAAGUGUGGGUAUCAAACAGGAUUAGAUACCCGAGUAGUC
This 460-nucleotide ribosomal RNA is filed under the name uncultured bacterium. RNAcentral describes it as "partial 16S ribosomal RNA". It matches the Rfam family "Bacterial small subunit ribosomal RNA", at positions 338 to 795 of the family's 1533-position model. The record is from RNAcentral.